Felis catus (domestic cat) is the source of this 941-nucleotide long non-coding RNA. RefSeq lists it as uncharacterized. The record is from RefSeq and is a predicted model, not a curated record. Lineage: Eukaryota; Metazoa; Chordata; Mammalia; Carnivora; Felidae. The transcript is spliced from 2 exons.
AUGACAUGUAUAUGGUUUCUCUCCAGUGUGAGUUUUCUCGUGUCUUUUAAGACAAGACCGUCGAACAAAGGCUUUUCCACAUAGAAGACAUUUAUAUGGUUUCUCGCCGGUGUGAGUUCUCUCAUGUUCUCGAAGAGCUCCACUCUCUGUGUGGCACAAGCCUGGUCCACAGUCUCCUACCGCAGACACUCCUUUCUGAUGAGCAGAAGUCCUCACUGCCUCAAGGAUGGUGCACUGUGAUGAGGCUGGCAAGACAGGAACGUGUCAGAGAACCAGGGAAACGAGAACCUGAUUACCUUAAAUUCCCGCUGUAAAAAUUAUGCUCCCUUUUGAGAGUUACUAUAGGUUCACUUUUAUAUUUGAUACAAACACAUUAAGAAGAAAAAAGGGACAAACUGUUCUUUUGGGAACCAAAUGCCUGUGCCUGAAAUGAAAAUACAUUGCCUGAUUUUUCUUCACAAGUAAUUUAUUCUUUUAUAUAUGAAGACAGAUCCUAAGACGUAUAUACUUUUUCGUAUUAUUCAAAAAUAGUUGAAACACAUCCUAUGUAUGGGAAAAUGAACAUUGAAGGUAUAAUUUAUUCAUGGAACCUAUCUUAUUUUGUGCGUGUAGAGCAUGGCAGUCAGUAGGAUGUCAACUAAAUCUGACUUGGAGAAGAGGAAGGGUCUGCUCUAGGAUUUCAUUUACUUGCCUGGAGAUGAAGAGGAGAGGGCUGCUGAAGGUGGUGGCCUGGGCCCAGAAGAAUAUAGAACCUCUUCUCCUCCAGGUCUUAACUACAGGCAGGCACACUUUGUUGUAUUGUGCUUUACAGAUACUGCUUUUUACAAAGGUGCGUGGCAACGCCAUGUUGAUCGGUGCCAUUUUUCCAAGGGCAAUUGCUCACAUUAUCUCUGUGUCACAUUUUGGGAAUUCUCACAAUAUUUAAAACAUUUUCAUUAUCA